GACGAACGCUGGCGGCGUGCUUAACACAUGCAAGUCGAACGGAAAGGCCCUGCUUUUGUGGGGUGCUCGAGUGGCGAACGGGUGAGUAACACGUGAGUAACCUGCCCUUGACUUUGGGAUAACUUCAGGAAACUGGGGCUAAUACCUGAUAGGAGCUCCUGCUGCAUGGUGGGGGUUGGAAAGUUUCGGCGGUUGGGGAUGGACUCGCGGCUUAUCAGCUUGUUGGUGGGGUAGUGGCUUACCAAGGCUUUGACGGGUAGCCGGCCUGAGAGGGUGACCGGCCACAUUGGGACUGAGAUACGGCCCAGACUCCUACGGGAGGCAGCAGUGGGGAAUAUUGCACAAUGGGCGGAAGCCUGAUGCAGCAACGCCGCGUGCGGGAUGAAGGCCUUCGGGUUGUAAACCGCUUUCGCCUGUGACGAAGCGUGAGUGACGGUAAUGGGUAAAGAAGCACCGGCUAACUACGUG
This 468-nucleotide ribosomal RNA is filed under the name uncultured bacterium. RNAcentral describes it as "partial 16S ribosomal RNA". It matches the Rfam family "Bacterial small subunit ribosomal RNA", at positions 28 to 507 of the family's 1533-position model. The record is from RNAcentral.